UACGUUCCCGGGCCUUGUACACACCGCCCGUCACACCACGAAAGUUGGCAAUACCCGAAGCCGGUGGCCUAACCCGUAAGGGAGGGAGCCGUCGAAGGUAGGGUCGAUGAUUGGGGUG
Molecule: ribosomal RNA, 118 nt
Filed under: uncultured bacterium
Lineage: Bacteria
Description: partial 16S ribosomal RNA
Rfam family: Bacterial small subunit ribosomal RNA
Source: RNAcentral